CCUACGGGAGGCUGCAGUGGGGAAUAUUGCACAAUGGGCGCAAGCCUGAUGCAGCGACGCCGCGUGCGGGAUGGAGGCCUUCGGGUUGUAAACCGUUUUUGUUCAAGGGCAAGGCACGGUCUUUGGCCGUGUUGAGUGGAUUGUUUGAAUAAGCACCGGCUAACUACUUGCCAGCAGCCGCGGUAAUACGUAGGGUGCAAGCGUUAUCCGGAUUUAUUGGGGGUUAAGGGCUCGUAGGCGGUUCGUUGCGUCUGGUGUGAAAGGCCAUCGCUUAACGGUGGAUCCGCGCCGGGUACGGGCGGGCUUGAGUGCGGUAGAGGUGAGCGGAAUUCCCGGUGUAACGGUGGAAUGUGUAGAUAUCGGGAAGAACACCAAUGGCGAAGGCAGGUCUCUGGGCCGUUACUGACGCUGAGGAGCGAAAGCGUGGGGAGCGAACAGGAUUAGAUACCCUAGUAGUC
Molecule: ribosomal RNA, 458 nt
Filed under: uncultured bacterium
Lineage: Bacteria
Description: partial 16S ribosomal RNA
Rfam family: Bacterial small subunit ribosomal RNA
Source: RNAcentral